CCGGCAUUUCGGAGGGGUUUACCUGAAUUCAAAUUGUAUUUAUGGGAAAAACUACAGCUACAAACAGCUCGUUUACGAUGUUACUAUUGAAAGUAUUUUUUAAUUUUAAUUAAAAGGUCUCCGAUAUCAAAAUUCUAUUUGCGGUCCAUAUUAGAUGAAUUGUCAGACCGCACUGAUCAGUUUGUAUUUUGUGAUUGGUAUAUUCCUCGUUCUGUGGAAGACAGACCCGUUCAGACACUGAGGGAGAGCAGAGAGGAGAUGUGGAGUGGCUGCUAACAGCUCUCACCUGAAGAGAAGAAAGGACACAUUCACUGAGGAGACGGUCAGAGCGAGUGACUAGAGCACUAGAGCCGUGCUACACAUCCCACUGACAAUAGCUGAAAUGGCCGACUUCCGACUGACCCUGGAAUGAACUGUCAAACCAUCCAGUUUGGGGCACACUGUUCCUGUUGUACCAUGCCCUCACAGAAGAUGUUGAUGAGUUGACAGAUCUCUGAUGGUGAACUUCUUCACAUUACGCGCCCAUCACAAUUUGGUGUAAAAUGAUCCUGAUACACAAGCCGAAAGUAACGUUAUGUCAGUCAGACCUCAAACAGGUAGAAUGCUCACCAGAGCAGAAGGGUUAAAAUCAGCAAGAGAUGGUGCCUCCCUUCCAAAUCGAGGCAGAUCAUUCCACACCUGUGGGGCUCUGAAGCUGAAUCCUCUGCCACCUGACUUCUUUCUCUGUAUGCAUGGAUUACUUUUCAUGGGACUGUCUUAUCUUGGAACAAAAAUGGAGUCUUUUUAUAUUAAGCAGGAGGGGGUUCUGGAAUUGGUACCUAUCUGCAUUAAACAGGAGAUGCCUGAACUGGAUCCUGGCCACAUUAAAGAAGAGUCUGAACUGGUGCCUGUCCACCUUAAAGAGGAAAAUACUGAAUUGGACCCUGUCCACAUUAAAGAGGAAGAGACUGAACUGGAGCCUGUCCACAGUAAAGAGACUAUUGACUUGCUUAAGGAUACAGACAAUAUAUCCCAGCCAAAGAUGUCACGUCAAUGUGCUGAAUGUGGGAAGGGCUUUAGUAAGUCAAGACACCUAAAAAAACAUCAGCGAAUUCACACUGGAGAGAAGCCCUAUAGCUGUAUUGAUUGUGGGAAGAGCUUCAUUGAGUCAGGAAACCUAAAAAGACACCAGCGAAUUCAUACUGGAGAGAAGCCGUAUCACUGUACUGAAUGUGGUAGAAGCUUCAUUGAGUCAGGAAGUCUAAAAAGACACCAGCGAAUUCACACUGGAGAGAAGCCGUAUCACUGUCUUGAAUGUGGGGAGCACUUCAGUCGGUUAGGAAAUCUAAAAAUACACCAGCGAAUUCACACUAGAGAGAAGCCGUAUCACUGUCUUGAAUGUGGAAAGAGCUUCAGUUGGUUUGGAAGGCUAAAUAUACACCAGCAAAUUCACACUGGAGCCAGCCUCUCUCCCUCCUAGUCCCUCACCUCUCCAUCCUACUUAUUUUAGUGUGUGGAGAGCUGACUGGGGCAGUGAUUCAAGAAUUUCAUGGAAUGGUGUAACAAUACACAUGUCUCUCUCCUCGCUCGCUCGCUCGCUCGCUCACUCACUCACUCACUGUGUCCCCAUGAGUGAGAGCCAGCCUGUAUACUUUGCUGAGUGUUUAAAUACUGAGAAACUCCAACCUUGUUGUAUACUGGAGCCCUUCUUCAGUGCAGUGGGAUUUAAUGGGUAGAUUGCUGUAUAUGCAAUUAUGAGGACAGCCCCACAAUGGUAGAGCUGUUUACUGUGAAAAAUAUAUGCAUAACAUACAUGCUUCACCAUUACCAUUAUUACUACAUUCAUAGUUUAUACAGUUUGUGAAUAAUUGAUAAAAACAAUCUGCAGAAUGCAGUUGCCUCAUUAAGCAGCUUCUUAAAGGAUCCCAGGGUGCCGGCUUCAACAACAUUAUUGGGAAGUUGGUUCCAGACCCUCACAAUUCUCUUUGUAAAAAAGUGCCUCCUAUUUUCUGUUCUGAAUGCCCCUUUAUCUAAUCUCCAUUUGUGACCCCUAGUCCUGGUUUCUUCUUUUUUCAGGUCGAAAAAGUUCCCUGGGUCGACAUUGUCAAUACCUUUUAGGAUUUUGAAUGCUUGAAUCAGAUCACCGCGUAGUCUUCUUUGUUCAAGACUGAACAGAUUCUAUUAUUUUAGCCUGUCUGCAUACGACAUGCCUUUUAAACCUGGGAUAAUUCUGUUCGCACUUCUUUGCACUCUUUCUAGAGCAGCAAUAUCCUUUUUGUAAUGAGGUGACCAGAACUGGGGACGCAGCUGAGAACAGACCAGACUCGGGGAUUUUGUUUUAGUUACAAUAACAAGAUGAGAAACAUUAUACACAGAACUCUGGUUUUGUUUCUAUGAAUAUAUUAAGACGUAGAAUAUCUUUGCAUUGUGUUGCAAUUUAAACAUUUUCAUUUAACAUAUUAAAAAGCUCAGCUUUCUAUUAGAAAUAGACUACAGCUAUGACCAAAGCUAUCCUCACUGUAGAAUGAACAAAAUGUGCUUUAUAAAUGUCGAAUGAAACCUGAAUAAUGUUUAACAUAUUAAAUUACACACCGCUUUGUAGUUUUCCAUAUCCUGAAAAGUGUUGAAUUUAAAUGAAGGGAAGUAAUGUUAAAACUGUACAAUGCAUUAGUAAGACCUCAUCUAGAAUAUUGUGUUCAGUUCUGGUCACCUCAUUACAAAAAGGAUAUUGCUGCUCUAGAAAGAGUGCAAAGAAGAGCAACCAGAAUUAUCCCGGGUUUAACCCUUUGCGGUCCUAUGUCGGAUCAGGUCCAACAUUACAAUUUUCCCUUUCCGGUCCGAAGUCGGACAUCAAAAAGACGUAAAAAAAACGGUCUCUAUUCGUUUUUUCUCCAAAAAAGCAGAGAAAACCAUUCAAUGGCGGAGUGAGACCGAUAGGAGCCGAGAGAA
Long non-coding RNA from Acipenser ruthenus (sterlet), 2928 nucleotides. RefSeq lists it as uncharacterized. The transcript is spliced from 5 exons. Lineage: Eukaryota; Metazoa; Chordata; Actinopteri; Acipenseriformes; Acipenseridae. The record is from RefSeq and is a predicted model, not a curated record.